Molecule: long non-coding RNA, 2585 nt
Filed under: Ananas comosus (pineapple)
Lineage: Eukaryota; Viridiplantae; Streptophyta; Magnoliopsida; Poales; Bromeliaceae
Description: long non-coding RNA (ACOM_LNC009585)
Source: RNAcentral
GUUGGGCAGGCUUGCUGCAGCUACACAGUCGUUACGAGAGUGGAAUCUCUGUUGAUCUUUUCAUCUCUCUACCUUUAACAUCUUUCUCACUUGCUGUUCUUUUUUCUGUUUUAUUUGGGGGGUUUCAGUUUGAUUUAUUGCAUAUAUUUUUUCUUAAAAUUUUGAUUUUGACUUUUCAACUCAAAUUGUUGGAUGAACAAUUUAGUAUUUGAAUCAUACUUUCCCUAUUUUUUGGAGCUUUUUGAGUAUCAAUAAAUCAAUUCUGUUGGAUAAAUUUCUUCUUCACUAUUUAUUUGGUGAGGGAAAAGGGAUGGCAUUACUUUGAGCGUUGCUUUUGUUCUACAUCGUUGAACUUACGAACAUGCCACAUCGGCCAUUAAAAUAGUCAUUUUGUCCAGGUAAUCUGAGCAUUGCUUUUGUUUUCUUUCCUUCCCUUUUGCUGAGAAAAUCGAAGGUAUUAUUGGAAGCUCGUCAUAUAUUCGUUAUCGUUUUGUUCUUGGUAUUACCAUUUUACCAUUUUAUCAAUUUGUAUUUGUUUCUUGUGAAUUCUUUGAUGAUCAUUUUGUUUUUCGAACUUUGAAAUUAGGUUUUUUUUUUCUUUCCACUCUCUCUUGUUGCAUUCACUGGUUCUUUUCCACUGAAACAGAGCAAAAGUUUCUUUCCCUCAAAAAAAAAUCCAAGGUGCCUGCUGGAUUUCUCUUAGAAAGAAGAAGAAGAAGAAGAAGAGGACAAAAGAAAAAAAAAGAAAAAGAAAGAGAGCAAAUGUGUCCCCUUUGGCCAUUUUCUGCAGGAAAAGAAAAACAAAGGCCUUCUUUCAACAUGACCUUAGUUGAGGGGCUUGUUCCCAGGAUUCCUCCUUGCCUGGGGCUGCAGGGCAGGGAAAUUGCAUUGCCACUUUAGCGGCUCUCUGUACAUUUUCGCCUGAAUGGCUUUGUCCUUGAACCAAAUGCUGCCUGGUUGUUGGCCAGAGAGGAAGUAGUUUGCCAUUUCUGCAACUCUUGCAGGCUGAUGACUCUCUCUCUCUCUCUCUCUCUCUCUCUCUCUCUCUCUCUCUCAAAAUGAGGGACGGAACUUGCAAAAUCGCAAAACUGGUGGAUUUUUUAUGCAAAUUGGCCUUUCUUCAACUCUAGAAAUAGACUUUUCUAUUUUUAAUUACCUUUGUAAUUUUAUGGAUUCUUUACAUGCAGAAGAGAGCAAAAGUUUCUUUCAAAAACUAAAAGGCAGGCAACAUGUUCAUAUCGUUAUCGUCGCAGCCGUUACCCUUUUCCCCAUUUUUGGCAAGUUAAAAAAAAAGACUUUGCGACAUGGACUAAGUUGAGGGGCUUAUUUUCAGAAUUUCUCCACCCCUGGGGCUCGAGGAUAGGUGAAUUGCAGCCUCGGUAAAGGGGGUCUCCAUGCAUUUUUACCUAAAUUGCCUUAUUCUAGAACCAAAUUCUGCCUGGUUGUUGGCCAGAGAGGAAGUGGACCUGCAUUUCGGCUACUCUUGUAGGCUGAUGACUCUCUCUCUCUCUCUCUCUCUCUCUCUAUAUAUAUAUAUAUAUAUAUCAUAUUGCCCGGACUGGUAUUUUGUGCAAGGUGAUGGUGAUGAAUGCUACAUGAUUGUGACUUUCUGCGGAAAGUCCUUCAGUGUGAUCGACUAUAUAUAUAUAUAUAUGCGAAUGUAAAGUUGAGCUACAAUCAAUAGUAGCAACCACUAAACCUAAACUCUGGACCCUAGACCCUAUUGAUCCAUGGGUCAAAAACUUGGUCGCGGCCGCCACUUUGCUACUAUCAAUAGUAUUUUAGCCCCACAAUAAAUUUAUACAUCUAUAUGAAUUCUCUUUCUCUUAUGUGUUACUCUUUUGGGUAAACUUCAAAUACCACCCCUAUGGUUUCGCACUUUCUCACUUUAGUAACCCUGUGGAUUAAAGUGUAUUAAGUUAGUAUCCUGUGGUUUCAUUUUUCUCUUUUCGCCUGCUCCUCCGUUAACAUUUCGUUAAAUUAUAUACAAAAUAUGCUUUCUUCAAAAUAUUUUUUCCCUUCUUUUCCUUCUUGGAGGCGAUGAUGAUAAACACCGCAUCACUGCAAUUUUGUGAGAAGAUGUGCUAUUCUCAUGCAAUGCCAUUAUUUUUCUCUUUCCAUAUGUGUGCAUGUACGCACACACGUUCAUAUAUAUAUAUAUAUAUAUACACAUCUAUUUCUUGGACCUGGUUCACCACAUUUGUUUACUACCCAAUGAAAUGCUUGAUUCUUUGGCGAUGUUGGCUGGGCAGCUGGAUGGCCUUCAACUUGCAGGCAAUGGCUGCAGCUACAUCUCCAGUGUUAGACUGGUGUAUAUGAUUAAUUUUUCCUUUGGUGUUAAAUCUGAGCCUCCGUCAAUCUUUUGCACUUUUUGCUCUCUCUUGUUGCAUUCACUGGUUCUUUACCACUGAAACUGAGCAAAAGUUAAUCCGCAAAAAAAAAAAAAAAAAAAUUCAAGGUGCCUACUGGAUUUCUCUUAGAAAGAAGAAGAAGAAGAGGACAAAAGAGAAAAAAAGAGAGCAAAUGUGUUCCCUUUGGCCAUUUUCUGCAGGAAAAGAAAAACAAAGGUCUUCUUUUAACAUGAC